RNAcentral lists this ribosomal RNA (114 nucleotides) under Mesocricetus auratus (golden hamster). Lineage: Eukaryota; Metazoa; Chordata; Mammalia; Rodentia; Cricetidae. The record is from RNAcentral.
GGAUCUGACCAUUCCACCCAGAAUGUGCCGGAUCCCCUCUGACCAAUGAGGCUAAGCAGGGCUGGCCCUGGUUAGUACUUGGCUGGAAUUGUAACCCAUAGGAAAUGUGAUCAA